Molecule: ribosomal RNA, 85 nt
Filed under: Alcaligenaceae bacterium
Lineage: Bacteria; Pseudomonadati; Pseudomonadota; Betaproteobacteria; Burkholderiales; Alcaligenaceae
Description: partial 23S ribosomal RNA
Source: RNAcentral
UAGGCUGGGUGUGGAAGGGCAGUAAUGCCUGCAGCUAACCAGUACUAAUUGCCCGUGCGGCUUGAUCCUAUAACCUUGUAGGUUA